CUGGAAGGAUGGGGCUGGAGAGAUGGCUCAGACGUUAAGAGCACUGACUGCUUUUCCAGAGGACCCAGGUUCAAUUCCCAGCACCCACAUGGCAGCUCCCAACUGUCUGUAAAUCUGCAUCCAGGAGAUUUGGCACCCUCACACAGACAUACAUGCAGGUAAAACAUCCAUAUGUAUAAAAU
Molecule: non-coding RNA, 182 nt
Organism: Peromyscus maniculatus bairdii (prairie deer mouse)
Lineage: Eukaryota; Metazoa; Chordata; Mammalia; Rodentia; Cricetidae
Source: RefSeq, a predicted model, not a curated record